Non-coding RNA from Pelobates cultripes (western spadefoot toad), 89 nucleotides. The record is from the annotation of a GenBank genome assembly. NCBI's taxonomy places the organism in Eukaryota, Metazoa, Chordata, Amphibia, Anura, Pelobatidae.
UCUGAGAACGGACAGCAGCUAAAAUAGCUUGGGGACCCACCGAAGGGCAGGUUAUUUUAGCUGCUGUCCGUUCUCAGAAUACUCUUGUG